UAGGCAAUUGGACGAAAGUCUAUCCUUUGUUUGUCUUGGAAAUACGUAUAAGCCAUUCAAAACUCGAGAGAUCGGUCGUUUUUAACUGACCAGGAAUUGCCAACGUUAACCUUUUGGGAGGUUAAAAAAACAAACGAACAAACAAACAAAUAAUAAAAUUUUAAUUUGAACCUAAUGAGAUUUUUUGCAAUAAGACGAAUUUUUGAGACAUUUUAGAGUUGAGAAAUUUUCAAACUAAAUUAUUCAAUUUUCCUCAAAGAAUCACAUCUAACCUAAUUACUUGAUGCACCAAUAUAACUGGUAAUUAGUUCGUUCCAAAAUAUUCUUGAACAGAUGUAUCUAUUUUGUUAAGAUUAGUUCUUUGAUUCAUUUAAGUAUGAAAUAGUUCACCCGUAGAGAUCUUAAGGUUGCCACGAAUACAUUCAGUAAUGAAUACUGGAAUUAAAAUUCCAUGAGAGAGCUAAAACAUGAAUGUAUAAAAAAUGAAACAAACUGGUGAAGUCAGUACCUGAUUAUCUUGAUCAGCUAUUUUGCUCAUAAGCUGUGAUCUCAAUUCUUCAUGACUAUUAUUUGACUGAGCAAUACUUUGUAGUUCUUCCAAAUUUGCCUCUAAUGCAGCUUUCUGAGUUUCAAGCUCUUCAAUUUUACUCUUGUUUCUGGUCAAUUCAGUAUUUAAGUCUUGUUCUACUUUCAUUGAUGUAGCGUGAGCCUCCACAAGUUUUGCAAUCUCCUGUUUCUGUUUUUGUUCCGUCUCUUGCCAAUCAGUUUCUUUCUGCUCGAAGUCAGCCAGUUCUUCUUCAACCAAAGUCAUCUUUUUUGUAGCCUCUUCCACUUUUGCUCUCAAUAAAACACUUCUUCUGAUUUCUCCAUCAAUUCAGCAGCUAAUUUUUUCUCAUUUUCUUGCAGAUUGAGACACAUGGAAGUCAGAGCUUUAAUAUCCUGGAAAGUUAAUCGAACGUUUUUAGACAAAAAUAUUAACAACAAUUGGUAGAGAAACCUUUGAACAUUUACACUUACGGUUUACAUGCAUUGGCAUUGGUAGACUC
RNAcentral lists this long non-coding RNA (1046 nucleotides) under Bemisia tabaci. RNAcentral's name for it is "lncRNA ENSSWEETPG012768". Lineage: Eukaryota; Metazoa; Arthropoda; Insecta; Hemiptera; Aleyrodidae. The record is from RNAcentral.